RNAcentral lists this ribosomal RNA (253 nucleotides) under uncultured bacterium. RNAcentral describes it as "partial 16S ribosomal RNA". It matches the Rfam family "Bacterial small subunit ribosomal RNA", at positions 524 to 776 of the family's 1533-position model. The record is from RNAcentral.
UACGGAGGGGGCAAGCGUUAUUCGGAAUCAUUGGGCGUAAAGGGCGCGUAGGCGGCUUGGCAAGUCGAAGGUGAAAUCCCCCGGCUCAACCGGGGAACUGCCUUCGAAACUGCUCGGCUAGAGUCCGGGAGAGGGUAGUGGAAUUCCCAGUGUAGCGGUGAAAUGCGUAGAUACUGGGAGGAACACCGGUGGCGAAGGCGGCUACCUGGACCGGUACUGACGCUGAGGCGCGAAAGCUAGGGGAGCAAACGGG